Molecule: ribosomal RNA, 440 nt
Filed under: uncultured bacterium
Lineage: Bacteria
Description: partial 16S ribosomal RNA
Rfam family: Bacterial small subunit ribosomal RNA
Source: RNAcentral
CCUACGGGUGGCAGCAGUAGGGAAUAUUGCACAAUGGGGGAAACCCUGAAGCAGCGACGCCGCGUGGAGGAUGACGGUUUUCGGAUUGUAAACUCCUUUUGUUAGAGAAGAUAAUGACGGUAUCUAACGAAUAAGCACCGGCUAACUCCGUGCCAGCAGCCGCGGCAAUACGGAGGGUGCAAGCGUUACUCGGAAUCACUGGGCGUAAAGAGCGCGUAGGCGGGGUAGCAAGUCAGAUGUGAAAUCCUAUGGCUUAACCAUAGAACUGCAUUUGAAACUGUUAUUCUAGAGUAUGGGAGAGGUAGGUGGAAUUCUUGGUGUAGGGGUAAAAUCCGUAGAGAUCAAGAGGAAUACUCAUUGCGAAGGCGACCUGCUGGAACAUAACUGACGCUGAUGCGCGAAAGCGUGGGGAGCAAACAGGAUUAGAUACCCGAGUAGUC